RNAcentral lists this ribosomal RNA (743 nucleotides) under uncultured bacterium. Its description in RNAcentral is "bacterial SSU rRNA". It matches the Rfam family "Bacterial small subunit ribosomal RNA", at positions 8 to 796 of the family's 1533-position model. The record is from RNAcentral.
AGAGUUUGAUCCUGGCUCAUAACGAACGCUGGCGGCAUGCCUAACACAUGCAAGUCGAACGAGCUCUUCGGAGCUAGUGGCGCACGGGUGCGUAACGCGUGGGAAUCUGCCCUUGGGUUCGGAAUAACCAGGAGAAAUCCUGGCUAAUACCGGAUGAUGACUUCGGUCCAAAGAUUUAUCGCCCAGGGAUGAGCCCGCGUAGGAUUAGCUUGUUGGUGAGGUAAAGGCUCACCAAGGCGACGAUCCUUAGCUGGUCUGAGAGGAUGAUCAGCCACACUGGGACUGAGACACGGCCCAGACUCCUACGGGAGGCAGCAGUGGGGAAUAUUGGACAAUGGGCGAAAGCCUGAUCCAGCAAUGCCGCGUGAGUGAUGAAGGCCUUAGGGUUGUAAAGCUCUUUUACCCGGGAUGAUAAUGACAGUACCGGGAGAAUAAGCCCCGGCUAACUCCGUGCCAGCAGCCGCGGUAAUACGGAGGGGGCUAGCGUUGUUCGGAAUUACUGGGCGUAUAGCGCACGUAGGCGGCUUUGUAAGUUAGAGGUGAAAGCCCAGGGCUCAACCCUGGAAUUGCCUUUAAGACUGCAUCGCUUGAACAUCGGAGAGGUGAGUGGAAUUCCGAGUGUAGAGGUGAAAUUCGUACAUAUUCAGGAAGAACACGAGUGGCGAAGGCGACUCACUGGACGAUUGUUGACGCUGAGGUGCGAAAGCGUGGGGAGCAAACAAGAUUAUAUACCCCCGUACUCC